UGGAUGAUGUGGUUUAAUUCGAUGCAACGCGAAAAACCUUACCCACCUUUGACAUGUACGGAACCCUCCAGAGAUGGAGGGGUGCUCGAAAGAGAGCCGUAACACAGGUGCUGCAUGGCUGUCGUCAGCUCGUGUCGUGAGAUGUUGGUUAAGUCCCGCAACGAGCGCAACCCUCGUCAUUAGUUGCUACAUUUAGUUGGGCACUCUAAUGAGACUGCCGGUGACAAACCGGAGGAAGGUGGGGAUGACGUCAAGUCCUCAUGGCCCUUAUAGGUGGGGCUACACACGUCAUACAAUGGCCGGUACAAAGGGCUGCCAACCCGCGAGGGGGAGCCAAUCCCAUAAAACCGGUCGUAGUCCGGAUCGCAGUCUGCAACUCGACUGCGUGAAGUCGGAAUCGCUAGUAAUCGCGGAUCAGAACGCCGCGGUGAAUACGUUCCCGGGCCUU
This 448-nucleotide ribosomal RNA is filed under the name uncultured Comamonadaceae bacterium. Its description in RNAcentral is "bacterial SSU rRNA". It matches the Rfam family "Bacterial small subunit ribosomal RNA", at positions 933 to 1382 of the family's 1533-position model. The record is from RNAcentral. Lineage: Bacteria; Pseudomonadati; Pseudomonadota; Betaproteobacteria; Burkholderiales; Comamonadaceae.